UCACGGUAUCAAGCUUGGCUUGGUGUUGGGCCCUUUGUCACCUGGUGACAGGUCCGAAAGACAAUGACUGGUGUAACAGACUCCAUAUGCAACGAGCUGAUAACAGCACGCAUAUGGCAGUUGUGUGACCCGGUUUUCACCCUUUCUUUCUCAA
RNAcentral lists this unclassified non-coding RNA (154 nucleotides) under uncultured Herpotrichiellaceae. RNAcentral describes it as "sequence contains ITS2". Lineage: Eukaryota; Fungi; Ascomycota; Eurotiomycetes; Chaetothyriales; Herpotrichiellaceae. The record is from RNAcentral.